GAAUAUUAGUCAAUGCUCGAAAGAGUGAACUAGCUAACUGAAAUCAAUUAUAAAAAUUGAUAACAUAAGGGAAAAAAAUGAUAUUACCUUAUUAUUAGUGUCGUCCAAAUCUGGUGCCAGAAGACUCGGUAAGGCCAGAGACACAAACGUUAAUCGUCUUAAUCAGGCGUAAAGGGUUUGUAGGCGGCUUUUAAAUUUAAAAAUAAAAAAGUUAAGAAUAAAAGCUAGAAUCAAAUAGAGGAUAUAACAAAUAAUGCUUAGAGUAGGUCUGAUAUCCUUAGAUACUAAGUAGAAUAUUAAAGGCGAAAGCUUUUUUCCAAAAAUGAUUGACGCUCAGAAACGAAGGUGAGGAUAGGAAAUAGGAUUAGAUACCCAAAAUACCCCUCUCUGUCAACGAUGAAUGGUAGUUAUUAGUAAUAAAAUUAUUAAUGGCAAUGUUAACACGAUAACCAUUCCGCCUUGUGAGUACAACUGCAAAGUUGAAAACAAAAAAAUUAGUCGGUUUCGGAGCAAACGAAGUGAAGCAUGUUAUUUAAUUC
RNAcentral lists this ribosomal RNA (539 nucleotides) under Russula aff. cellulata VH-2016. RNAcentral's name for it is "partial 12S small subunit ribosomal RNA". It matches the Rfam family "Bacterial small subunit ribosomal RNA", at positions 359 to 952 of the family's 1533-position model. Lineage: Eukaryota; Fungi; Basidiomycota; Agaricomycetes; Russulales; Russulaceae. The record is from RNAcentral.